ACACUUUGGUUUCUCUUUAGAUUGAAUAAAUCUUUUGCCUUUUACUAAAUAUUUCCAUGGAGAGAAACACGUCUGAAUUCAAGUGUAAUUUUUUGAGGCCUCACCUUGGCUGGACU
RNAcentral lists this small nuclear RNA (116 nucleotides) under Chinchilla lanigera (long-tailed chinchilla). RNAcentral describes it as "U5 spliceosomal RNA (ENSCLAG00000020473.1)". It matches the Rfam family "U5 spliceosomal RNA". From Rfam's summary of the family: U5 RNA is a component of both types of known spliceosome. The precise function of this molecule is unknown, though it is known that the 5' loop is required for splice site selection and p220 binding, and that both the 3' stem-loop and the Sm site are important for Sm protein binding and cap methylation. Lineage: Eukaryota; Metazoa; Chordata; Mammalia; Rodentia; Chinchillidae. The record is from Rfam by way of RNAcentral.